GCAUUUGUUGUUUAGUGGUAGGAUACUUGCUUUUUAUGCGAGAGGCCCAGGUUUGAUUCCUGGCUGGUGCA
RNAcentral lists this transfer RNA (71 nucleotides) under Dryobates pubescens (Downy woodpecker). Its description in RNAcentral is "Picoides pubescens (downy woodpecker) tRNA". It matches the Rfam family "tRNA". Rfam says of the family: Transfer RNA (tRNA) molecules are approximately 80 nucleotides in length. Their secondary structure includes four short double-helical elements and three loops (D, anti-codon, and T loops). The record is from Rfam by way of RNAcentral. Lineage: Eukaryota; Metazoa; Chordata; Aves; Piciformes; Picidae.